GGGCUGCCUUCUGUCGCAUCUCAUACAGCCAUCCAGAGUAAUUCGCAGCGACGUGAUGCUCAAUCACAGCAUCGCCAGCUGACUGAGAAAUGCUCGGGUCAAAUCGAUAAUAAACCUAUAACAAAAGAUUAUUUAAAAUUAAGAACAUUUGACGAACUGACCAAUACAACUAUGUGGUGAUAAUAUGCUUAACUUACGUGGAACUCCCACAAGACGGUCUGCAUAAAAGUGGCAUUGUACCGCGCAUACUGACUUAAUCGCAUGCACCCUCUCGGGAGAUGCGUCAAACAAAUUGCAUGUAGGGUGUGCUUAGCCACCGGGUCUAGUAUACUACAGAAAAAGUAUAACAAUAUGUGUUAUGUGAAUUGUGUUUUGCAAUAACUGAUAGAAAUAGUGCCAAAAAUAUUAACACCUACUGCUGGGAAACGACAUCCACCGGUACUGUAAGUGGCACU
This 455-nucleotide long non-coding RNA is filed under the name Panax ginseng (ginseng). RNAcentral's name for it is "long non-coding RNA (PGIN_LNC007874)". Lineage: Eukaryota; Viridiplantae; Streptophyta; Magnoliopsida; Apiales; Araliaceae. The record is from RNAcentral.